Molecule: long non-coding RNA, 383 nt
Filed under: Homo sapiens (human)
Lineage: Eukaryota; Metazoa; Chordata; Mammalia; Primates; Hominidae
Description: HSALNT0269684
Source: RNAcentral
CCCUGGAGGAAAAUACUCGGCUCUGAAUCUGCACCUCUCCCAAGCGCGAAGUCCUCGUCCAGAGAAGGCAACGGCGAGAAACAAAUCCAACAUCCUGGGCUGCUUUUUCCUUCCCCCACUUUUUAAAAGUUUGGUGUCCAAGUCACUUGACAAACCCAGACCCUAACAAUGACAUUUUGUGUAGAAUUCUGGGAUCAAAAUAUAAUUUCAAAAAUAAUAUAUUUUCUGACAUCCCCCAAGAAAAAAAGUACUGGUUUCUUCCCCCUAAAAGGAUUUAGAUGGAAUAACAUCUGUGCUGAGAAUAUUGUGAAUAUGUUGAACUGACAGGCAGUCUCUAAGGCACUCCGCUCAUUAAUGUGCUGUGCAUAAAAUUAAAACUUGAA